UUAAUUGGACAUUAAAUCUACUAAGAAUAACUUAAUUAGUAUUUAGGUAUUAUAACUAAUUGAAAAAUCAAUCCAUAGACCCAUUUCUUUUAAAAUAUUUUAAGCCGUUUUAUUUAGUUUGGGCGGGCCCAUUACAUUUAUGCUUUUGCCUGAGCCAUUAAAAAAAGCUUAAUAUAUAAGUUUUUUGUUUUUCCUUUCUAUUCCAUUUCCUUCCACUUACAGCCGCCCCAUCUUCCCCAUCUUCAUUUUUCUCUUCUUUUCCUAUUUUUUUUCUUAUUUCUUCUUCUAUCUUCUUUCUUUUUUCAUCCUCUCAUCCUCAUAUUCAUGGCAGCCUCUACACCACCACCUCCAUCUCCUGUGUUGUUACCAUCCAUGAGGCCCACAGCCACCAUGCCACCAUCUUUAUAUUCCCCCAUGGCUAUUGUUCCCAUGUUCACUACGACUCAAACGUGCUUCCCGAUGUUUUGCCAUAACCCUGAUGUGAUUCUUGAUGUUCCAUCACCAUCAUAGCCACCAUUGUUGCAGCCCACAACCUUGGUACCUCCUGCACUACCUAUUGAAUUUUGUUGGACUGACAUCAACACCACCAUCUCCAUGGUUGCCACUUCGUUCUUCAUCUUAGGGCUUCAAGAGACGUAGGUAAGUUUCCUUGGAUCUCUACAGUAAUUGUUGAGGUAGUUUUAAUUUAAUUUUUAUAUGGGCCUGGGUCUCCUUUGCUUUAUGAUUAGGCUUCAAAUAUUUGGUGCAUGGGUUUGAUGUUAUAAUAUUUUAUUACUUGGGCCUUGUGUUUCAUUUGGUUGAGCCCAAUAAUAAGAGUAUCAGGCACACAUAAGCAGGUUGGUUCUUUGAGAGCCAUGGAGUUUUGUUGAACCUUAGGAUUGUUGAGGUCAUGCUUCACCAUUGAUUGAGGUCAUGUUUCACCAUUGAUUGGGCUUCAAGCAAGAGAUAAGUAUGGAUGAGGCUUCAUCCUGGAGGAUAUGUAUCUAAGAAAUACGUCAAGAAGAAGACAAUGAUGCAGAAACAAAGAUCACCUCUUAUGAAGAUAAUGUUGUACUUUUCAAUUUAAGUUUGUAUAUUAUUUUAAUUGAAUGUUUUUAGCUAGGUUUUGUUUGUAUAUAGAAAAUAGAGAGGUACUUGAAAAACAUUUAUUGAAUUGUGUUCUUAAUAUUUAAUGUAUAUGUAAUGAUUUUUUUUCUUAAAUAGUAAUUUAUUUAAAUUA
Long non-coding RNA from Vitis riparia (riverbank grape), 1219 nucleotides. RefSeq lists it as uncharacterized. The transcript has 2 exons. NCBI's taxonomy places the organism in Eukaryota, Viridiplantae, Streptophyta, Magnoliopsida, Vitales, Vitaceae. The record is from RefSeq and is a predicted model, not a curated record.